RNAcentral lists this long non-coding RNA (479 nucleotides) under Drosophila melanogaster (fruit fly). RNAcentral describes it as "long non-coding RNA:CR43484 (Dmel_CR43484)". The record is from RNAcentral. Lineage: Eukaryota; Metazoa; Arthropoda; Insecta; Diptera; Drosophilidae.
AAAGAACAUUCGUAUCUGAGGAAGUACCAGAACAACCCAACAACAAAAACAAGAAGAAUGGCAAAAUUCGUAUUCAUAUUUUCAUAGGCGAUCAUUAGACAAAUAUACUCGUAGAGGAGAGAGGGAGAGCGUAAUCGCGGCAGCUGGCUGGCUGGCUGGCCAAUCGUUUGGACCAACUUGAUGCUGAGUUUGAGUACGAGACGUGUUGGCCAUGUCCGAAGUGUCGAGGUGUCCGCGGCCCUAUUAAGAGCUGGCAUUUGAAAUGAUUUAUAUAAUGCGGCAUUGUCUGGUGAUGCCAGACACCCGAUAGACCCCCUAUGCCAGAACAUAUGUGAAUACAGUACAGUUAUAGGUGGAAACAAUAUAGCACAUACGAUAUACUCGUACAAACCCAUUGUCCAGAGUUGGCCUGUCAACAGCAAUUUGACAUUUUCGUUGUCACUUUUUGGUGUGCCUGACAUUUUACACACAACAUAAAU